AUUGAACGCUGGCGGCAUGCCUUACACAUGCCAGUCGAACGGUAACAGGUUAAGCUGACGAGUGGCGAACGGGUGAGUAAUGUAUCGGAACGUGCCCAGUCGUGGGGGAUAACUGCUCGAAAGAGCAGCUAAUACCGCAUACGACCUGAGGGUGAAAGCGGGGGAUCGCAAGACCUCGCGCGAUUGGAGCGGCCGAUAUCAGAUUAGGUAGUUGGUGAGGUAAAGGCUCACCAAGCCGAAGAUCUGUAGCUGGUCUGAGAGGACGACCAGCCACACUGGGACUGAGACACGGCCCCGACUCCUACGGGAGGCAGCAGUGGGGAAUUUUGGACAAUGGGCGCAAGCCUGAUCCAGCCAUGCCGCGUGCGGGAAGAAGGCCUUCGGGUUGUAAACCGCUUUUGUCAGGGAAGAAAAGGUUCUGGCUAAUACCUGGGACUCAUGACGGUACCUGAAGAAUAAGCACCGGCUAACUACGUG
This 477-nucleotide ribosomal RNA is filed under the name uncultured bacterium. RNAcentral's name for it is "partial 16S ribosomal RNA". It matches the Rfam family "Bacterial small subunit ribosomal RNA", at positions 30 to 507 of the family's 1533-position model. The record is from RNAcentral.